Molecule: long non-coding RNA, 8465 nt
Filed under: Gallus gallus (chicken)
Lineage: Eukaryota; Metazoa; Chordata; Aves; Galliformes; Phasianidae
Description: lncRNA (ENSGALG00010011731.1)
Source: RNAcentral
GUAGCGUAGCCAUGAAACCAUCGGGGGGGGGGAGGGGGGGGAGGGGGUUGGAAGGUAGAGGGGGAGUCUUUUUUUUUUUUAAAAAAAAAAAGGACCUAUUUUCCUAUUAUUUUUUUUAGGGCUGCACCCGGCUCUGCAGCAGCAUCCUCUCUCUGCAGCGGGGCCGGGUGGAGGCCAAGGGGGGGCACCGCGAGCAGGGGGCUUCCCCACAUCACCCCCUCCCCUCCCCAUCCAUCCAUCCAUCCAUCCAUCCAUCCAUCCAUCCAUCCAUCCAUCCAUCCAUCCAUCCACUCAUCCAUCCAUCCCCGGGCAGAGGGCGCAGGGCAGUAAGGGGGAAGGGGGGGGGGGGGGGUUGGGAGGAGGUGUGGGGGGGGGAUGCUGGGCAGGGCUGCGGGCUCUCUCCCGGCGGGGUCGCUCCUUGUUUUAAAAGGCGGCAUUGCUGCGGACAACACCCGGAGCAUCUCAGCGGGAGCGGGGCCGGGGGGUGCAGCCGCCCCUUGUUUUCGGCGCACGGAGUCAGCAGCUGGGAUUUUUUUUUUUUUUUUGGCUGAAUAAUCCUUUCGGGGAGGGGGUGCGCGGGGAGGGGGGGUUGGGGGGGGGGGGGGGGGGCUUGGGGGAGGAGGGAGGGAAAGUGGAUCAACAUCACCGAAGGAGGACAGCGAGCAAGAUUAGGGCUGGCUAAUGAUAAAUGAGAAGGCGCCGCUGACAGCUCCUCUCUCCGCGGCUGCCGCCCGGCAGCUCCGCGCUGCGCGCUCCGUGCGCACCUCCGCCCGCACCCGCGGCCGCCGCUUCGCUCCCCUCCGCCCAUCUCUUCUCAGUUUUAAUCUCUUUUUAUUAUUAUUAUUAUCAUUAUCAUCGUUAUUAUUGUUAUUAUCAUAUAUAUUUUUUAUUAUUAUUUUUUCUUAAUUUUUCACCUCCGCGUAGCGCGCAGAGCGCUUGGGGGGGGGGGCUCCAUUUUAACCCCCCCCACCUUCGCCCCAAAACCGCUUUCCUCGGGAUUACGCCGCAUCGAGGGACCGGAGCAGGGGGUAUUUUCCUUCUUUUUACCGGGAUUUGGGCUGGGGGGCUUGGGGGCUCAAUGCGGGGUCGGGAUGCGCUGCGGGCACAGCCUCCCCUCACCCCCACCACCCCCCCCCCCCGGAGGGAUGGGGAUGGCGAUGGGGGGGGAUGCGGGGCUGUUCGCCGCCCCCCCGCACCCCACCCGGGUGACCUUUCCCAUCAAAGCCCGCUCGUCCCCAGCAAGGUGCAUUGGGGCAGCGGGCGGUGGGGGGGGGAGGGGGGGGCGGAGGGGAGAGGGCGCCGCAGCCGGGCUCUCCCCCUCCCUCUGCUUUCCCCCUCCCUCCUCCCCUCCCUCGCUGCUCCCUCCUCUCUCUGCUGCAUUUUGCAUGAGCUAUCUAGGUCAUUAGCAUUUUAGCGUAUGCAAGACUUGACAAAGCUGAUGAGAAGCCAGAUGGGCCCCUCUCCUCUCUUUUUUUUUUUUUCCUGCCUUUUUUUUUCUUUUUCCUCUCUUUUUUUUUCCCUUUUUUUUUCUUUUUUUUUCCCCUUUUUUUUUUUCCUUUUUUUUUUUUUUUUUUUUUUUUUUGCACCACUUGGGAUCCGAGCGAAAAGGAUUUGACUGCAGCAGCAGCGCAGCAGCACAGCAGCACAGGCGGACGGGGGAAGGCUCCUCGCGCUCCUCCAGACCCCUUUUAGAGCAGCAGCAGCAGCAGCAGCGCAGCGCAGCGCAGCGGGGCUCAGGCUGCAGGGCAGCUCCUGGGGUCAGCGCUCCCCCUCCAGAUGGAAGGAGGUUGGGCAAAGCAAAGCCACUUUUUUAUUACCAUUUCCCCACUUUAACCCUUCCUUCUGAUUACCGCUAUUUUUCCGGUGGCUGUUUAUGCGCCUCUCCCCCGCCUCCCCCCCUACCCCCCCUUCCUUUAAUCCUUAUAAUUUAAAUCAAAAGUGUCGGGGAUGCAGAUGGGGGGAGCGCUGUGUCUGCAGGGCGAGGCCGGGCGUAAAUCUCUUGGAGGGAUAAACAUGUCAUUUGUUCCCUUUGUAUGGUAAUGCGUCCCCCCCACUCCCGCAGAUGCCCCCCCCCCCCCCUUCACCCCCCAGCAGCUGCCCCGGCCAUACAUCCUCCCUACAAAAGAUCCCAAUUACCCAUCGGCUGCCUCAUUAUACCCCUAACACAGAGGCGUGUGCGAGCGGCGGCGGAGGGGAGGGCUGGGGGAGAGGAGGGGGUGGCAGCACCUGAAUUAUUCAGAAAAUGCAAUAAAAUAAAAUGAAAUAAAAGAAAAUUCAAGAAACUGCAGAGGGGAGGGAGGUGGAGGGGGCCGCGACCCCGCGGCCUAACGCCGAGCGGUGCCCCCGCAGAGCCCCUGCAGCCCCGCGCUGCUCCACCACCACCCCACCUUCUUAUAUUCUUCCUCCUUUUUUAUCCCUUUUUUUCCCCCCUCCACCCUUUUUUUUCCUCCUCUUAUAGGCAGACAGGUGCCUGAUAGCCCAUCGCCUACCCUGCAUCCCGCUGGGGCCCUUCUCUCAUCCCUUCUCCUAUCCUCUUUCCCGUCCUUUUCUCCCAAGCUGUUUCUCCUACCCAUUUUCCCAUCCCCUUUCCCAUCUCUUCUCCAUUCCCUUUUCCUAUCCCUUCUCCUGAACCUUUCCCCCAUCUCUUUCUCCUAUCUUUUUCUCCAUCCUCUUUUCCCAUCCUUUUCCCUUCCUUUUCCCCAUCCCUUUUCUCAUCAUUCUCCCAUUCCUUCUCCCAUCCCUUCUCAUCUCUUUCCCCCAUUCCUUUAACCCAUUCCUUUUCCCAUCCUUCUCCCAUCCCUUUCCCAUCCCCUGUCCAAUUCCAUUUCCCGUCUCUUCUCCCCAUUCCUUUUUCCCAUCCCUUUUCCAUUCUCCUUCCAUUCCCUUCUUCCAUUUCCUCUCCCGCCCUUCUUCUUCCCAUCCUCUUUCCCAUCCCCUCUCUUUGCAGCUGGAGCCCAUCCACUGCCCUCGCCCACAGCUGGCCCAGUGUUCCCAGCAGGAGCCCAGCACUGGCCAAAGCCAACCCUUACUGGAGGUUCCUCUUUCUCACCCCAUGGCCUGGGGCCCCCAGAUCUCUUUGCAGCUCCGUGAGCAGACUCUUGCCUCUGGGAUGGGAGCAGAGAUGAUGGCUCGGGGUCCCUGGGACAGCUCCUUGCACCCCCCCAGGGGUGCUGCAGGUAUUUGGGGACAGACCUACCGGGUGCGCUGUGGAUGCCGCAAGGAUCCCAUCGGGUUGCGCCGUGCCAAUAAAGCUCUUCUUGCUGCGGGUUCCCGCAUCCUCUCCUUUGUUCACGGAGGUUUCUCGCUCUUCUCUUUCCAGCCUUGGUUUCCCCACCAAGGUCCAGAUGGGGGGCAAAUAAAUACCAAAAGCCACCCCAAAAUAAAAACCCUAAUAAAAAUUAGGCAGCCCACAGCCGCCUGCUUGGUAAUGCUACGAGAGCUCACCCUCGACCUCCAAGAGAACCCAAGCUCCUGUUUAAGGAAUAACAGGGAGAAUAGAAGAGAUUUGGGGUCUCUUCCAUUUGGGGUCCCUUCCACUUGGAGCCUCUUCUAUUUGGAGGCCCUCACAUUUGGGGUCCCUUCAUUUGCGAUCCCUUCCAUUUGGGGUCCCUUCUAUUCGGGAUCCCUCCCGUUUGGGGUCCCUUCCAUUUGGAGUCUCUUCUAUCUGGAGACCUUUCCAUUUGGGAUCCCUUCUAUGUGGAAUCCCUUCCAUUUGGGGUCCUUUCCCUUCAUUCUCUGCACACUGAGCAUCUCUGCAGACGGCCUCACCCCUCUGCUGCCAGUGAGCCAGCCGAGCCGCAUUUCCAUUACUGAGUAUGGGAGAGGGAAAUGCUAUCAAAAUAACCUCCCAUCCCUGCAGAAAAUAACCCAUUUAUCCCUUGCAAAAGGGCUAGGAUAAAGAGACACCGUGAGCUCCAACCCAAAGGCCUGGGACCACGCUGGGGUCGCACCAGGAGCUGCCAAAGAAGGGGAGCUCUUACUAAUAUUAAUUCCCAUAAUUAUUACGGUGCCCAGAAUAAAUCAGGCCGGGGUUUCUCUGAGGCCUUUGCCCCUGGGAUGAGCUGCGAGGUGGCCCCUCCUCCCCGGGGUGGACACUUUGGGUAUGGGAAUGGCGGCGUGGGGUGGGGGAGGCAGAUGCGUUCAGGUUUUUUUUUUUUUUGCUGCGAGGCGGAGGAGGAGGUGGCAUGGGUUUAUUCUGAGCACGUCAGCUCCCUGUGUCCCCUCCUUCCUCCCUCUGCCUGCAGUCCGAUGUAAACACAGCAACUCAAACCUGCAGCCCUGAACCCUCCUGGAAUACUGGGGGAGUGAAGCAGCGCCAUCGCUGCAGCGAUGCCCCCGGAUAACCCAUGCGCAUCCAUCCCCAAGGUCGGGCACCAGAAAGGGACAGGGAUGGGACAGUGGUGGAGCAGGGAUCCAAGGUGCCAGCCACAUCCACCUGCAGUGCUGUGCCAUUUUUAGCCCCCCCCCUGCCCAUGGCCAACCCCUUCCCAAUCUGCUUGCGUUGGUUCGACGUGAUGUUGGAAAUUCCUCUCUUUCCUUCAUUUUCCCUGCUCUCUGUCAAGUCCCAGCUUGGCGAAUGGCCCCAGGCAGCACAGCCAUCCACCCAUGCCCAUGCAAAACGGUGGGUUUCACACAGCAAAAAGUCUUCUUCACGUCCCUGUAGCUUUCAGCUUCUUUCCUGGGUUUAUUUUUAUGCCGGAUGCCUCCUUGAGCAGCAACCCAACGCAUCUCCUAGCAGCAGCAGUCCAAGUGGGCGUUUCAGUGGGAAAUCUAAUCAGGAUUCUGAGGGGAAAAUCCUUUCUAAAUGUCUCGGCUAAGCGAUGAGCUCAUUCAAUUGCCUAGGCUAUAAAAAGGACCAGCAGACCUGUAUUUUUUCCAGGACCAUUUUUCCGGGAUCUGCAGCUCAUUCCCAGCCACACACCUCCCAGGAGCAGGGCUACAAAUCACCUCCAUCGCCCUAAAUGUAGCCUGAUGAUGAGAUCAUAAGCAUGGAUCUUGGUGGCAUCGUCACAUUAUGGGGUCGGGCAGUGAAACCGCGUGCGGUACCCCGAGGAGGAGGGAUGGCUGAGCAUGGCACAGUGGUGAUGCUCCCACAUACCACCCUAUCCCUGUUGUUAAAACAUCUCCAAACAAAGCAUCCCCUAAAAAUAUAUGUUUCCCUCCAUCCAAGAUGCCCUGAAUCAGGCCAAUAGUGAGAUUAAUUCCAAUCAGGACCAUGGGGACCCAAGAGACUAGGUUUGCUCCAAGCUCACAUGGGUGAUGAGCGACCAAAGGAGGAAAACCUACAGGCUUUGCCCAUUGUGGGUCUGGGAGGAGAGGAGCUGGAAGGCAGUCCUCUGCUGAGGAUGCAGGAUGCUCUGUUUCCAUGGCACUUGCAGAGUUGUGUGUGCGUGUGCACAGUCCCAAGCCAUGCAGCGAUGAUGGGGUGGUGAUGCUGCUAUGGCAUCCCAGUGUCUAUAGUCCUUUUCACAUGCUUUGCUCCACAGCCAGGGAACAGGGCUGAAAAUCAACGCUCAGAGGGGGAAGGGAACCAGGAGUCAGCACUGCUGUGCUCCCUGGUUUGGAAUGAGGCUGCUCUCCAAGAGGGGAAUGAGUCUGCUGGGGGAUGAGUAAGGAAGAGGGAUCCCCAUGGCUCCCUGUUACAGUCAGACACAUCCUGACCUCCUCAAUGGGAUCACAUGGGUUAGAGGGCAAGAGCUGCAUAAGAAGAGUUCAAGAGAUUUCUGCCCUCAUCCAGAGUUUUAAUGGGGACACGAUGCAAGAUGUACAAAUCUUUAAUUGCUAUCAGUACUUGGAAGGAUAUGAAUGGAAUCAGCACUCCUCACGUGAACCUGUACAUCAUGGCACAUAAAUACAUUUAUACCUGUCCCAGAAACCCCAAUCCCUAAAAUAUCCAUCCUCUCAUUCCAUGUAAACGUCAUGAUUUUAGGGCACGACACCGUCCCAGCCCUAAAGGUCACAUUAGGAGGAUCCUGAGCCCUUCUCGACCCACGGCAAGAAAGCAGCAUUUCCAAGUCAGUCUGGGUCGCUCCCAUGGUCUUUUGGGAUCAUUUCAUCCAAAGUGUGGGAUUUAGGUUAGAUAUUAGGAAGAAGUGCUUCACAGUGAGAGUGGUGAAGAGGUGGCACAGGCUGCCCAGAGAGCUGUGGGUGCCCCAUUCCUGGCAGUGCCCAAGGCUAUGGAUGGGGCUGUGGGCAGCCUGGGCUGUGGGAGGUGCCCCUGCCCACAGCAUGGAUUGCACUGAGGGGUCUUUAUGGGCCCUUCCAACCCAACCCAUAUUGAUGCACCCACAUCUUUCGGUGACCCAUAGCUGCCUUCCCAAAUGUGUUGAGGUUUUCAGCAGCACACAAAGGCUGGCAAAUGCUGCUUUUGCCCUGCCAUUGCUUCGUGCUCGCUUUGCCCCACUGAUGACAGACCAAAAAUAAACCAAGAGCCCAUCUCCCCUUCAGCAUCCCCUCCUCCCCCAGACACAAAGCACGGCGCGGAGCGUAUCCAGAUGGGGAAAGGCAAAUGGCUGGGGAGGGAGGAGGCUGGGGAUGGAGAGACAGCAGCCAUCAGUGCACAAACCUGACACAAAUCCCUUGGCCACGGCGACAUGUGAGGAUUUCUCCUUUUUUAUUUCAUUCCUUUUUAUGAACGUUUCGUUAUUUGUACGGAGACGUUUUUAUUUUAAACCAAGAUGUGCUGAAGUGCUUCCAUGUGGCAACAGCUGUAGAGAUGAGCUAAUACAAAGCUCAGCAAUUUCCCCGUGAGCACGGGUCUUCCUCUGCAGUCAUCAAACUGAUAACAUCUUAUACAGAGAAGACAAAAGUAAUGCGUACGCGUGUGUAAUUUGCAAUGUCAAUGUGUUCGACUGUGUGUUGGAAUCAUAAAAGUUAUUUCAUUUAUUACAGUCGUGCAUAAGGCUUCUUAGAGCUGCAGACUUGGAAUAGGCAAUUAUGCCCAUAGGUUAAUAACAUACAGCCAUUUGACUGACAACUGGAAUUAGAUUUAAACACGGCAGAGUGGUAUACUAAAGGCACUUUAUUAAAACAGUGGCUGGGGAUUUGUUCAAAAUACCAGUCUCAUACCUUUCCUGGUAAACUACUUAUAAGCAGCACUAUAUCGUGGCCUGUUAUAUUGCAUUUGUUCUCCUUUCCCCUUCUACUUCGUGUUGAGCCAUAUAGCGAGGGAUUUGGCUGGUCAGGUUUUGCUGGAGAGAAGGCAGCCUCUCCGGUCAAUAAAUUCAGCUAAUAUUGUGUUUUUCUUAUCCUGUUAUCAGGAAAGUUUGCUCUCCUGAGUUAGUGCAGCAUGGGGAUGCGUUGCCUGCAGCAGGGUUGGGAUGUCUGCUCAUGGAGGGUUUUAUACCAGCUUAGGAAGACUGGAGAGCAAAUUUCAUCCUGCCUUGGGACCAGGGUUAGAUCCACUAUUUCCCAACAUUCUUUGGAAAAAAAAAACAAAAACGUUAUGUGGUUUCAGAGAUGAUCAAAGUUUAAGGGUCACCAAAAUUUAUAGGGUUGGACCAAGUGGCAUCUAAAGGUCCCACUCCAACCUGUGUUGUUCCACAAGUCUAUCUAAAGUUGGAACUAGCAUUAAAAACCCAAAGGCACUUUUUGCUCAAUUGCCAAAAGACAAGAACCACUACAUCUGAAAUGCCCAUAAAAUUAACUCCUAAUUCUCCUCUCUUGUCUCCUUGCCUUGUGUUCACGGGGCUGUAGACAUCAGCCUAUCAAGAGCUGGCUUAUGGCACAGCUCAGACCAGGAGCCAUCUUUGAGGCAGGGGUUAAAAACCACUAGUCUGAAUGCACUGGACGUGACUCAUGGAAUCAUAGAAUCAUAGAAUGGCCUGCACUGAAAAGGACCACAAUGCUCAUCUAGUUUCAAUCCCCCUGCUAUGUGCAGGGUCACCAACUACCAGACCAGGCUGCCCAGAGCCACAUCCAGCCUGGACUUGAUUCAAGGUUUUCUAUUUGAAAUUAGAAAAAAUGGAAACAUCCAGAGAGGAAAGGGCAACGUGUUUCCUAUGUCUGAACCCCAAAGCCUUGUGAUGCCCAGCAGUGGUCCCAGUGCUGCCACCUGUCCCCCAGGCACCCCAUGGGCUGGUAGUGCCUGUGGUGAGGGUAGCCCUGUCCCCACACCCCCAGCCUUGCCAGCAGCUCUCUCCAUUGGAUCUACAGUCCUGACAACAUCAUACGAGGACAAAGUGCCAGGGGAUGAAUUCACCAAGGGAUGAAUUAAGCAGCGGCACAUGGAGCUGUGUGGUGGUCACCAAUUCCAGCCCAGGACAUUUCUCUUUGCUAAAAUAUCCAAGAGAAAAUAAACUUCUUCUUUUCUGUAAGCUCUGAAAGAUUUAUAAUAUUUCAGUCACUCCUCACCCCUAUCACUGAUAAAACUCAUCUUGGCACGACUUCAGCGCUGGAUCAGCCUUGAAGGCUCGGCAGAGAUCUCUGUGAUCUAAAGUCCUUGGCCUUAACCCAGUCUGCAUUCA